RNAcentral lists this ribosomal RNA (253 nucleotides) under uncultured bacterium. RNAcentral's name for it is "partial 16S ribosomal RNA". It matches the Rfam family "Bacterial small subunit ribosomal RNA", at positions 524 to 776 of the family's 1533-position model. The record is from RNAcentral.
UACGUGGGUGGCAAGCGUUGUUCGGAAUUACUGGGCGUAAAGGGCUCGUAGGCGGCCAACUAAGUCAUACGUGAAAUCCCUCGGCUUAACCGGGGAACUGCGUCUGAUACUAGAUGGCUUGAGAUUGGGAGAGGGAUGCGGAAUUCCAGGUGUAGCGGUGAAAUGCGUAGAUAUCUGGAGGAACACCGGUGGCGAAGGCGGCAUCCUGGACCAACACUGACGCUGAGGAGCGAAAGCCAGGGGAGCAAACGGG